GACUAACGCUGGCGGCGUGCCUAAUACAUGCAAGUCGAACGGGAUUCUUUGAUCAGCUUGCUGAGGGAAGGAUCCAGUGGCGGACGGGUGAGUAACGCGUGGGAAUCUGCCUCUUACUGGGGGAUAACAGUGGGAAACUACUGCUAAUACCGCAUAAGAUCUUCGGAUGAAAGGUGCAACUGCACCGGUAAGAGAUGAGCCCGCGUCCCAUUAGCUAGUUGGUGAGGUAAAGGCUCACCAAGGCGACGAUGGGUAGCCGGCCUGAGAGGGUGAACGGCCACACUGGGACUGAGACACGGCCCAGACUCCUACGGGAGGCAGCAGUAGGGAAUCUUCCGCAAUGGGCGCAAGCCUGACGGAGCGACGCCGCGUGAGUGAUGAAGGCCUUCGGGUCGUAAAGCUCUGUUCUUGAGGACGAAUAAGCCAGGGGGUGGAAAGCCCUGGUGAUGACUGUACUCAAGGAGAAAGCUCCGGCUAACUACGUGCCAGCAGCCGCGGUAAUACGUAGGGAGCUAGCGUUGUCCGGAAUUACUGGGUGUAAGGGCGCGCAGGCGGUUUCAUAAGUCAGGUGUGAAAGCCCGGGGCUCAACUCCGGAUAUGCACUUGAAACUGUGAGACUAGAGUGUGAGAGA
This 632-nucleotide ribosomal RNA is filed under the name uncultured Bacillota bacterium. Its description in RNAcentral is "bacterial SSU rRNA". It matches the Rfam family "Bacterial small subunit ribosomal RNA", at positions 28 to 655 of the family's 1533-position model. The record is from RNAcentral. Lineage: Bacteria; Bacillati; Bacillota.